AUUCCCCGCUUCUCCUUCCUUCCUUCCUCCUCCGCGCUCAUCGUAGAUUGCUGAAGUGGGAGCCGAAGAGUGAGUGGUGCUAGUUUUACAUUCGGUUUUCUGUCCGGAGUUUCUUGAGUCGGUCCAUGACUUCUUACCUACACCAACAACGCUUAACGUUAGUCUUUCUUUCUCAUCUUCACAUAGGGAGUAAACAUGUGUUAGAACGUUGUUAGAAGAGAAGGUCAGUUUUUGUAAUUUGAGGAAUCGUCGUCUCUGGUGGCCAGCCGUCUACGGGAAACAACUGAAGGAAACUAAGAAACUGUUUAGUCUACAUGUGUUUCCUUUUUUUCUUCAAUUCCUAUUUUGCCGCCACACUGCAGUGUCACCAAACACAACCCUGGAGAUUUCUCACAGUGACCCCACAAAGACAUAACAAUGGUGACCUUUUACGAAGUGUGUAUCUGUUGCUCUGCGGUUUGGCUUUUCUUUAAUCAUGGUAAACAUUUUAUCAAAAGCUAUCAGCUCUCCUGCAAGCGAAACAUGCCAUCUGGCUAAGCAGAAAACGAAAUUUUGAAAAGAUACGAAUAUAUUAUACAAACAAUCUUAAAGAGAAAAUUACUCAGAGCAAUAACUCAAUCAAAUUUGAAACGAAAGGAAAGUGAAAAAGAAACAAUCUUCUGGUGGAGAAUUUGAAAGAAACGAGACGCAAAAAUUCGAGUCUGCUUGCUUGCCUCUUCUUUGGCACUGAGAUCUGAACGCAACACGGCGAGAGAUCUGCGCCAAGACAUUUUUUAACGGUCUCCGCUCAGGCACGAGCGAACGUUACCUCUGAUUCACGACUGCCAAGGUUAGAGCUGAUGUCAUUCGCGCACAUUUGUGACACUCGUUGACUCAAACUGGUGUCAGCCCUUCACCUUACCUGAACUGAUUCCAGAUUAUAACUUGAUAGUUACUAAAACUCCCAUUCGCCGAUUCAAGGAACGUAUUUAUUGUGCCGCAUUGCUUGUGAGUAUUUCGCUCUUUUGAAAUGUGAACCAGAGACUUUCAGAACAGCGCAGAGAUUAAUUAAGCAAAUCAAAAAGCGCUCUUGUUUAGAAUUUUGCUCUGAAGGAGAAAUAAAAAUGAUUUCUUUGGAACAAAAGUGGAUGAAAUCAGUUAACCGCAAAUAUUAUGAGAGCGACCGCUUGAAGUGUUGGAGCGUGUGUUAAUUAACUUGAUAUCAGUUUCUGCGCUACGUCUGUAAGAGUAAUACUUGGAUUAAGAUUAAUGAUUCAAGGAUUUACAUUGGCCAUUACUAGCGCGUGUAUUCACCGCAAAUGAGCGAAUGAGAGGUGUGUAUACGCCAUGCCAUUCACCUUCUUUUGGCGACCUCUGAGUCUGAUGUACGUCACAAUUAUAUAAAAUCUAUUAUUAAAACGACGUUCUCUCGUCUACGUUGUCGGGAAUUUCUGAACUUUACCAAAAAGAAAAUAAAACGUUUUGAGAAUUCAUAUUUUGUGAAAUGCAGAUUCAAUACAGGAACACCCAACCAGCACCGUUGGCGUGUUAUCAUAGAGUCAUUUGUAUUCACAAAAUAAUAGAUGUUGCAGUAGUCAUUUUUAAAUGUUUUACAUCGCUUGUGUGAGAGUGAGGGGUAAAGAAUUCGUCCACGCGGAUUUUUAAGUGAGUGGCAUUAAUUGAUUGUUCUGGGGAUUUGUUAUUGG
RNAcentral lists this long non-coding RNA (1685 nucleotides) under Aplysia californica (California sea hare). RNAcentral describes it as "uncharacterized LOC118477925". The record is from RNAcentral. Lineage: Eukaryota; Metazoa; Mollusca; Gastropoda; Aplysiida; Aplysiidae.